CAGUAGCCGCGGUAAUACGAAGGGUGCAAGCGUUAAUCGGAAUUACUGGGCGUAAAGCGUGCGUAGGCGGUUUGUUAAGUCUGUUGUGAAAUCCCCGGGCUCAACCUGGGAAUGGCAAUGGAUACUGGCAAGCUAGAGUGUGUCAGAGGAUGGUGGAAUUCCCGGUGUAGCGGUGAAAUGCGUAGAGAUCGGGAGGAACAUCAGCGGCGAAGGCGGCCAUCUGGGACAACACUGACGCUGAGGCACGAAAGCGUGGGGAGCAAACAGGAUUAGAGACCCCCGUAGUCCCUGUCUCUUAUAA
This 301-nucleotide ribosomal RNA is filed under the name uncultured bacterium. RNAcentral's name for it is "partial 16S ribosomal RNA". It matches the Rfam family "Bacterial small subunit ribosomal RNA", at positions 509 to 809 of the family's 1533-position model. The record is from RNAcentral.